GAUGAACGCUGGCGGCGUGCCUAAUACAUGCAAGUCGAGCGAACGGACGAUAAGCUUUCUUCUCUGAUGUUAGCGGCGGACGGGUGAGUAACACGUGGAUAACCUACCUAUAAUACUGGGAUAACUUCGGGAAACCGGAGCUAAUACCGGAUAAUAUUUUGAACCGCAUGGUUCAAAAGUGAAAGACGGUCUUGCUGUCACUUAUAGAUGGAUCCGCGCUGCAUUAGCUAGUUGGUAAGGUAACGGCUUACCAAGGCAACGAUGCAUAGCCGAUCUGAGAGGGUGAUCGGCCACACUGGAACUGAGACACGGUCCAGACUCCUACGGGAGGCAGCAGUAGGGAAUCUUCCGCAAUGGGCGAAAGCCUGACGGAGCAACGCCGCGUGAGUGAUGAAGGUCUUCGGAUCGUAAAACUCUGUUAUUAGGGAAGAACAUAUGUGUAAGUAACUGUGCACGUCUUGACGGUACCUAAUCAGAAAGCCACGGCUAACUACGUG
This 497-nucleotide ribosomal RNA is filed under the name uncultured bacterium. Its description in RNAcentral is "partial 16S ribosomal RNA". It matches the Rfam family "Bacterial small subunit ribosomal RNA", at positions 28 to 507 of the family's 1533-position model. The record is from RNAcentral.